AACAAAUCUACAGUCUAGAGAUAUGCCGCCAUAUGGGGAGAACUGCUUGGUGCCAGGGAAAAGAUAGAAAGCUCAAGUGCGGGAGUCUAACACAGAAGACACCUUAGUCAAAUAGGUUUGUGAUGCUGUUACAGAAGCCUUCUCCAAAGGUUACAGAAGUUCUGACCCAGAUCCCCAAAUAGUGGCACUGCAGCCUCUUUCUGUGGACCCACCACCCAUAAAGGGCAGCAGGUAGUAGAUACAAUUUAGAGAAGAAUCUUGGGCACGGAGGGGCCAAAAACAGCUUCAGCAAGUAGGAAGAGAAGCAGAGCACAUGGGAAAGCGAGCAGAGGUCACAGAAAAACAGAAGCUGGCACAAGAUCCCAACCUGCAGCUGAAUACAUGUGGGUGGAACCUGGCAACCAUGCAUCUCUGUCGUCUUUAAUGGGAGUCCACACCGCUUUAAGAAUGGAUCAGAUGUCAACAUCAGCCACAGACUGUCAAUUGUAACACUUCUAGGAGGUUUUGAUGGCUUCCAGCCCAACUACCAGAAAAUGAUGAAGUUUGCAGGGGACAAUGACUAUGCUUGGAAGUCCCUCUGAAGGUGGAGUGAGAAGGUAGUCUGAGUCCCUGAAGACUCAGGAGAUGAAGAAGAAGAAGCGUUGUUCACUUGGAAGUUUGAGACUGUAAACUAAAAGUGGCUAAUCCCUCAAGAACCGAACCCUGCAUGAUUCACACAUCACGCUUUUUUUCAUUACAAUUCUGCU
RNAcentral lists this long non-coding RNA (746 nucleotides) under Gopherus agassizii (Agassiz's desert tortoise). RNAcentral describes it as "lncRNA (ENSGAGG00000020032.1)". Lineage: Eukaryota; Metazoa; Chordata; Testudines; Testudinidae. The record is from RNAcentral.